UCUCCGUUGGUGAACCAGCGGAGGGAUCAUUACAGAGUAUCUUUUAGAACUCCAAACCACUGUGAACAUACCACUGUUGCUUCGGCGGGCUCCCGGCCGCGGCGUGUAAAAGCCCGUGGCCCCCCGCCGGAGGACCCAAACUCUGAUUUCCAGCGGAUCUUCUGAGUAUAUAUAUAAGCAAUCAAAACUUUCAGCAACGGAUCUCUUGGCUCUG
RNAcentral lists this unclassified non-coding RNA (214 nucleotides) under soil metagenome. RNAcentral's name for it is "partial contains small subunit ribosomal RNA, internal transcribed spacer 1, and 5.8S ribosomal RNA". The record is from RNAcentral.